UAAUAAAGGGUUUUCCGUAGGUGACCUGCGGAGGGUCAUUACACAAGAUUUGAGGCGCCGUCGUGAACCUGACGGCGAAAAAGCCGUACCCAACCACCCAUCUUAUCUGUAUCUUGUUUCUUGUUCCCGCCGUGCCUCCCUGUCGCUGUCGACUGGACAUGCCUCGGCCGCCCACCGGUUUUCAACUGUAACAAAUCCCUCCUUACAACUUUCAACACUCGAGUUCUUGGUUUCGUCUCCGCUUUAUAAUGAAAAUUGAUAAAACUUUCAACAACGGAUCUCUUGGCUCUUGCAUCAAUGAAUAACGCAACGCACUUUGAGCCCUUUGGUGAUUUGCAGGGCUUGCUGAAUCAUCCAAUCUUUGAACCCACAUUGCGCCCCUUGUGUUGGGCGUGGGCAUGCCUGUUUUAGCGUCAUCUCACCCCCUCCAGCUGCCUUUGUGUGGCUGCGGUGUUGGGGCUCGUCACAAAUCGGCGGCCCUUAAAGACAGUGUCGGUCCCCGCGUGGGCUCUACUCGUAAUUACUUGCUUCUCGCGACGGAGGGACGACCGUGGCUUGCCAGAACAACCCUAAUCGGCUCCAAAACAUGGAUCACAGGUUGACCUCUAAACCUGUAGGAAUACCCGCUGAACUUUAACCUCCUCUAAUGGGACGAAGGGAUUUU
This 664-nucleotide ribosomal RNA is filed under the name Erysiphe pisi. RNAcentral's name for it is "eukaryotic LSU rRNA". The stretch from base 263 to 416 matches the Rfam family "5.8S ribosomal RNA". The record is from RNAcentral. Lineage: Eukaryota; Fungi; Ascomycota; Leotiomycetes; Helotiales; Erysiphaceae.